This 2889-nucleotide ribosomal RNA is filed under the name Klebsiella pneumoniae. Its description in RNAcentral is "bacterial LSU rRNA". It matches the Rfam family "Bacterial large subunit ribosomal RNA". Lineage: Bacteria; Pseudomonadati; Pseudomonadota; Gammaproteobacteria; Enterobacterales; Enterobacteriaceae. The record is from RNAcentral.
UUAAGCGACUAAGCGUACACGGUGGAUGCCCUGGCAGUCAGAGGCGAUGAAGGACGUGCUAAUCUGCGAAAAGCGUCGGUAAGGUGAUAUGAACCGUUAUAACCGGCGAUGUCCGAAUGGGGAAACCCAGUGCAAUUCGUUGCACUAUCGUUAACUGAAUACAUAGGUUAACGAGGCGAACCGGGGGAACUGAAACAUCUAAGUACCCCGAGGAAAAGAAAUCAACCGAGAUUCCCCCAGUAGCGGCGAGCGAACGGGGAGCAGCCCAGAGUCUGAAUCAGCUUGUGUGUUAGUGGAACGGUCUGGAAAGUCCGACGGUACAGGGUGAUAGUCCCGUACACCAAAAUGCACAGGUUGUGAACUCGAAGAGUAGGGCGGGACACGUGGUAUCCUGUCUGAAUAUGGGGGGACCAUCCUCCAAGGCUAAAUACUCCUGACUGACCGAUAGUGAACCAGUACCGUGAGGGAAAGGCGAAAAGAACCCCGGCGAGGGGAGUGAAAAAGAACCUGAAACCGUGUACGUACAAGCAGUGGGAGCACCUUCGGGUGUGACUGCGUACCUUUUGUAUAAUGGGUCAGCGACUUAUAUUCUGUAGCAAGGUUAACCGUAUAGGGGAGCCGCAGGGAAACCGAGUCUUAACUGGGCGUUAAGUUGCAGGGUAUAGACCCGAAACCCGGUGAUCUAGCCAUGGGCAGGUUGAAGGUUGGGUAACACUAACUGGAGGACCGAACCGACUAAUGUUGAAAAAUUAGCGGAUGACUUGUGGCUGGGGGUGAAAGGCCAAUCAAACCGGGAGAUAGCUGGUUCUCCCCGAAAGCUAUUUAGGUAGCGCCUCGUGAAUUCAUCUUCGGGGGUAGAGCACUGUUUCGGCUAGGGGGUCAUCCCGACUUACCAACCCGAUGCAAACUACGAAUACCGAAGAAUGUUAUCACGGGAGACACACGGCGGGUGCUAACGUCCGUCGUGAAGAGGGAAACAACCCAGACCGCCAGCUAAGGUCCCAAAGUCAUGGUUAAGUGGGAAACGAUGUGGGAAGGCACAGACAGCCAGGAUGUUGGCUUAGAAGCAGCCAUCAUUUAAAGAAAGCGUAAUAGCUCACUGGUCGAGUCGGCCUGCGCGGAAGAUGUAACGGGGCUAAACCAUGCACCGAAGCUGCGGCAGCGACACUAUGUGUUGUUGGGUAGGGGAGCGUUCUGUAAGCCUGCGAAGGUGNUGCUGGAGGUAUCAGAAGUGCGAAUGCUGACAUAAGUAACGAUAAAGCGGGUGAAAAGCCCGCUCGCCGGAAGACCAAGGGUUCCUGUCCAACGUUAAUCGGGGCAGGGUGAGUCGACCCCUAAGGCGAGGCCGAAAGGCGUAGUCGAUGGGAAACAGGUUAAUAUUCCUGUACUUGGUGUUACUGCGAAGGGGGGACGGAGAAGGCUAUGUUAGCCGGGCGACGGUUGUCCCGGUUUAAGCAUGUAGGCUGAUUAUCCAGGCAAAUCCGGAUAAUCAAGGCUGAGGUGUGAUGACGAGGCACUACGGUGCUGAAGUAACAAAUGCCCUGCUUCCAGGAAAAGCCUCUAAGCAUCAGGUAACAUCAAAUCGUACCCCAAACCGACACAGGUGGUCAGGUAGAGAAUACCAAGGCGCUUGAGAGAACUCGGGUGAAGGAACUAGGCAAAAUGGUGCCGUAACUUCGGGAGAAGGCACGCUGGUGUGUAGGUGAAGCCCCUGCGGGUGGAGCUGAGACCAGUCGAAGAUACCAGCUGGCUGCAACUGUUUAUUAAAAACACAGCACUGUGCAAACACGAAAGUGGACGUAUACGGUGUGACGCCUGCCCGGUGCCGGAAGGUUAAUUGAUGGGGUUAUCCGUAAGGAGAAGCUCUUGAUCGAAGCCCCGGUAAACGGCGGCCGUAACUAUAACGGUCCUAAGGUAGCGAAAUUCCUUGUCGGGUAAGUUCCGACCUGCACGAAUGGCGUAAUGAUGGCCAGGCUGUCUCCACCCGAGACUCAGUGAAAUUGAACUCGCUGUGAAGAUGCAGUGUACCCGCGGCAAGACGGAAAGACCCCGUGAACCUUUACUAUAGCUUGACACUGAACAUUGAGCCUUGAUGUGUAGGAUAGGUGGGAGGCUUUGAAGCGUGGACGCCAGUCUGCGUGGAGCCAACCUUGAAAUACCACCCUUUAAUGUUUGAUGUUCUAACGUUGGCCCCUGACCGGGGUUGCGGACAGUGUCUGGUGGGUAGUUUGACUGGGGCGGUCUCCUCCCAAAGCGUAACGGAGGAGCACGAAGGUUAGCUAAUCCUGGUCGGACAUCAGGAGGUUAGUGCAAUGGCAUAAGCUAGCUUGACUGCGAGCGUGACGGCGCGAGCAGGUGCGAAAGCAGGUCAUAGUGAUCCGGUGGUUCUGAAUGGAAGGGCCAUCGCUCAACGGAUAAAAGGUACUCCGGGGAUAACAGGCUGAUACCGCCCAAGAGUUCAUAUCGACGGCGGUGUUUGGCACCUCGAUGUCGGCUCAUCACAUCCUGGGGCUGAAGUAGGUCCCAAGGGUAUGGCUGUUCGCCAUUUAAAGUGGUACGCGAGCUGGGUUUAGAACGUCGUGAGACAGUUCGGUCCCUAUCUGCCGUGGGCGCUGGAGAAUUGAGGGGGGCUGCUCCUAGUACGAGAGGACCGGAGUGGACGCAUCACUGGUGUUCGGGUUGUCAUGCCAAUGGCACUGCCCGGUAGCUAAAUGCGGAAGAGAUAAGUGCUGAAAGCAUCUAAGCACGAAACUUGCCCCGAGAUGAGUUCUCCCUGAGACUUUAAGUCUCCUGAAGGAACGUUGAAGACGACGACGUUGAUAGGCCGGGUGUGUAAGCGCAGCGAUGCGUUGAGCUAACCGGUACUAAUGAACCGUGAGGCUUAACCUU